GAUGAAGAACGCAGCGAAAUGCGAUAAGUAAUGUGAAUUGCAGAAUUCAGUGAAUCAUCGAAUCUUUGAACGCACCUUGCGCUCUUUGGUAUUCCGAAGAGCAUGCCUGUUUGAGUGUCAUGAAAAUAUCAACCUUGACUUGGGUUUUGUGCUCUAGUCUCGGCUUGGAAUUGGGUGCUUGCCGCUUUUACGAGCGGCUCACCUUAAAUGUAUUAGCUGGAUCUGUCUUUGAGACUUGGUUUGACUUGGCGUAAUAAGUAUUUCGCUAAGGACAUUCUUCGGAGUGGCCUCGUUUCUAGGACGCUUGUCCGCUUUCCAAUACAAGUUCCACCUCGUGGACAUGACUUUUUAUUAUCUGGCCUCAAAUCAGGUAGGACUACCCGCUGAACUUAAGCAUAUCAAUAACGGAGGA
RNAcentral lists this unclassified non-coding RNA (412 nucleotides) under soil metagenome. RNAcentral describes it as "partial contains 5.8S ribosomal RNA, internal transcribed spacer 2, and large subunit ribosomal RNA". The stretch from base 1 to 120 matches the Rfam family "5.8S ribosomal RNA", at positions 35 to 154 of the family's 154-position model. The record is from RNAcentral.